RNAcentral lists this ribosomal RNA (253 nucleotides) under uncultured bacterium. RNAcentral's name for it is "partial 16S ribosomal RNA". It matches the Rfam family "Bacterial small subunit ribosomal RNA", at positions 524 to 776 of the family's 1533-position model. The record is from RNAcentral.
UACGUAGGGCGCAAGCGUUGUCCGGAAUUAUUGGGCGUAAAGAGCUCGUAGGCGGUCUGUCGCGUCUGCCGUGAAAACCCGAGGCUUAACCUCGGGCUGGCGGUGGAUACGGGCAGACUAGAGGUAGGUAGGGGAGAAUGGAAUUCCCGGUGUAGCGGUGAAAUGCGCAGAUAUCGGGAGGAACACCGGUGGCGAAGGCGGUUCUCUGGGCCUUACCUGACGCUGAGGCGCGAAAGCGUGGGGAGCGAACCGG